AGAGUUUGAUCCUGGCUCAGGACGAACGCUGGCGGCGUGCCUAAUACAUGCAAGUCGAACGAACUCUGGUAUUGAUUGGUGCUUGCAUCAUGAUUUACAUUUGAGUGAGUGGCGAACUGGUGAGUAACACGUGGGAAACCUGCCCAGAAGCGGGGGAUAACACCUGGAAACAGAUGCUAAUACCGCAUAACAACUUGGACCGCAUGGUCCGAGUUUGAAAGAUGGCUUCGGCUAUCACUUUUGGAUGGUCCCGCGGCGUAUUAGCUAGAUGGUGGGGUAACGGCUCACCAUGGCAAUGAUACGUAGCCGACCUGAGAGGGUAAUCGGCCACAUUGGGACUGAGACACGGCCCAAACUCCUACGGGAGGCAGCAGUAGGGAAUCUUCCACAAUGGACGAAAGUCUGAUGGAGCAACGCCGCGUGAGUGAAGAAGGGUUUCGGCUCGUAAAACUCUGUUGUUAAAGAAGAACAUAUCUGAGAGUAACUGUUCAGGUAUUGACGGUAUUUAACCAGAAAGCCACGGCUAACUACGUGCCAGCAGCCGCGGUAAUACGUAGGUGGCAAGCGUUGUCCGGAUUUAUUGGGCGUAAAGCGAGCGCAGGCGGUUUUUUAAGUCUGAUGUGAAAGCCUUCGGCUCAACCGAAGAAGUGCAUCGGAAACUGGGAAACUUGAGUGCAGAAGAGGACAGUGGAACUCCAUGUGUAGCGGUGAAAUGCGUAGAUAUAUGGAAGAACACCAGUGGCGAAGGCGGCUGUCUGGUCUGUAACUGACGCUGAGGCUCGAAAGUAUGGGUAGCAAACAGGAUUAGAUACCCUGGUAGUCCAUACCGUAAACGAUGAAUGCUAAGUGUUGGAGGGUUUCCGCCCUUCAGUGCUGCAGCUAACGCAUUAAGCAUUCCGCCUGGGGAGUACGGCCGCAAGGCUGAAACUCAAAGGAAUUGACGGGGGCCCGCACAAGCGGUGGAGCAUGUGGUUUAAUUCGAAGCUACGCGAAGAACCUUACCAGGUCUUGACAUACUAUGCAAAUCUAAGAGAUUAGACGUUCCUUCGGGGACAUGGAUACAGGUGGUGCAUGGUUGUCGUCAGCUCGUGUCGUGAGAUGUUGGGUUAAGUCCCGCAACGAGCGCAACCCUUAUUAUCAGUUGCCAGCAUUAAGUUGGGCACUCUGGUGAGACUGCCGGUGACAAACCGGAGGAAGGUGGGGAUGACGUCAAAUCAUCAUGCCCCUUAUGACCUGGGCUACACACGUGCUACAAUGGAUGGUACAACGAGUUGCGAACUCGCGAGAGUAAGCUAAUCUCUUAAAGCCAUUCUCAGUUCGGAUUGUAGGCUGCAACUCGCCUACAUGAAGUCGGAAUCGCUAGUAAUCGCGGAUCAGCAUGCCGCGGUGAAUACGUUCCCGGGCCUUGUACACACCGCCCGUCACACCAUGAGAGUUUGUAACACCCAAAGUCGGUGGGGUAACCUUUUAGGAACCAGCCGCCUAAGGUGGGACAGAUGAUUAGGGUGAAGUCGUAACAAGGUAGCCGUAGGAGAACCUGCGGCUGGAUCACCU
This 1554-nucleotide ribosomal RNA is filed under the name Lactiplantibacillus plantarum. RNAcentral describes it as "Lactobacillus plantarum 16S ribosomal RNA". It matches the Rfam family "Bacterial small subunit ribosomal RNA". Lineage: Bacteria; Bacillati; Bacillota; Bacilli; Lactobacillales; Lactobacillaceae. The record is from RNAcentral.